AAUCAACGCUGGCGGCGUGCCUAACACAUGCAAGUCGAACGCGAAAGUCCCGCAAGGGAUCGGUAGCGUGGCAAACGGGUGAGUAACACGUGGGUGACCUGCCUUCGAGUGGGGGAUAACGUCCCGAAAGGGACGCUAAUACCGCAUGACAUCCCGCCUUUGAAGAGGUGGAGAUCAAAGCUGCGGAUCGCAAGACGUAGCGCUUGAAGAGGGGCCCGCGCCUGAUUAGCAGUUGGUGGGGUAAUGGCUCACCAAGGCAACGAUCAGUAUCCGGCCUGAGAGGGCGGACGGACACACUGGGACUGAGACACGGCCCAGACUCCUACGGAGGCAGCAGUGGGGAAUUGUUCGCAAUGGGCGCAAGCCUGACGACGCAACGCCGCGUGGAGGACGAAGGC
RNAcentral lists this ribosomal RNA (398 nucleotides) under uncultured bacterium. RNAcentral describes it as "bacterial SSU rRNA". It matches the Rfam family "Bacterial small subunit ribosomal RNA", at positions 29 to 415 of the family's 1533-position model. The record is from RNAcentral.